CCCUGGGAGUUGUGGGCACCGGGGAUUGUGGGAAAUGUAGUUUGGAGACUCCGCCCUGAUCACCAUUUCUGUAAUGGCUGCUUCCUUGAAGUAGGCGCUGUCACGUGGAAUCUCAGCCUCAGCAUCCGGAGCUGCUGGAAGGGAGUCAGAUAGAAUUCAGUACCGCCUUCUUUGAGAUCUUCAUCCUUCAAGAACCAGCCACAUCAUGAUCUCAGUUUCAACACAGUUGUUCCUAGUCCUCUUUUCAUUGCUUUUGGUGCUGCCUGUUGUUGAAGCAGUAGAAGCUGGAGAUGCAAUUGCUCUCUUGUUAGGUGUGAUUCUCAGCAUUACAGGCAUUUGUGCUUGUUUGGGGGUGUAUGCACGAAAAAGAAAUGGACAGAUGUGACUUUGAAGGGCCUCCUGAAUCAAACCUUCCUCUGAAAACCUUUGUGCUAUUGAGUUUCAGAACUGAGCUUUGGUGUCUGAAAGUUCCCAAGAAACAGUUAAUAGAGAAGUUUCAUAUUAUUGGUUAUUUUCCUAUAAAAAGGAACAAAUUGAUAUACUCUGUUAAAGGGAAAACAACAUGUUUUUGUCACAACAGUUAAUGCACUGGAAAAUGCCAUCUGUAAUUUGCAUUUGCUGAAAUUUGCAUAAGUAAUAUUUCAUAGUUUCAGAAUUCUCAGUAGGAAGAAGGAAACUCUUGCCCAGAAUCCUAGGAAAUUGCCACUGUUCAGUUAUAAUCACUGCCUCCUGCAUCAUUGAGGAAUUUUUUUCUCCAUAUUUUUAUUGGAUUUUUGUUUUGUUAUCUCCCAAGUGAGUACUGUACCUAGACAUUAAAUACAGUUGGUCAGAAAUUAAAACUUAUCUCUGUGUGGGAUAAAGUUCAGAAAAUGUAUUCAAUGUAUCUAACAUUGAAAUGGAGAGAGUUAAUGUAAAAAAAAAUACUUUAUAUUGACAUUGAAAUGGAGAAGAGAUCUAUUGUUUAACAAAAACAAAAAAUGUUUAUAUUAACUGAGUAACAUCUCCAUGGUGAGAAGUACUAUGUCAAGUAUAAACCUAUUAUGUAAGUUAAUUUGUGGUGUCCAUUUCUGUUUAUUUCAGACUGUUUUUAUCUCUGUGAAGUUUCUAUGAACUAAGUGGAGAUGAGUAGAUGCCUUAUGUUAACUGUUGACUCCAGCUUUUAGAGAUAUAAUCAGUGAAAAAUUAGAAAUGGGCAGCAUCAAGGUAGGGAAGAGGCCCCUGGUAGAGAAUCCACAGAUGCAGAAGGCAAAUGUUAUGGCAUAUACUGAUUUACACACAAGCCACAUGAGGUACACUCUCCCCAUCCUUGCUACUUAAAGUGUCCUCAGCAGCAGCAGUAUCACCUUAGGGCUUGUUAAAACUGCAAUCUCAGGCCCCCUCCACCCCACCCCCAACCAAUUGGAUCAGAAUCUGCUUUUGUUUCUAGAACCCAGGAUAACUAUACACAUUCAAGUUUAAGAAGAUUGCUCUAACUUGUUUGAAUGCAAGGAUCAAACAAGUUGAUAAAAACUGUUAGAUUCCCAGCUUCCUCUCCUGGUUGCGUUGUAGGUUGGGGUAUGGAAUUCUUUGUUUAACAAGGGUCCACAGUGAUUCCUUUGACUGUAGAUACAGCCAACAUAGAAUUGUGUGAGUAAAUAAAACUGCUAUGGGGUCUUCAUGAAA
Capra hircus (goat) is the source of this 1662-nucleotide long non-coding RNA. RefSeq lists it as uncharacterized. The transcript is spliced from 3 exons. Lineage: Eukaryota; Metazoa; Chordata; Mammalia; Artiodactyla; Bovidae. The record is from RefSeq and is a predicted model, not a curated record.